Molecule: ribosomal RNA, 323 nt
Filed under: uncultured bacterium
Lineage: Bacteria
Description: bacterial SSU rRNA
Rfam family: Bacterial small subunit ribosomal RNA
Source: RNAcentral
GAUGAACGCUGGCGGCGUGCUUAACACAUGCAAGUCGAGCGAAGCGCUUAAGUUUGAUUCUUCGGAUGAAGACUUUUGUGACUGAGCGGCGACGGGUGAAGGUACGCGUGGUAACCUGCCUCAUACAGGGGGAUAACAGUUAGAAAUGACUGCUAAUACCGCAUAAGACCACAGGGUCGCAUGACCCGGUGGUAAAAACUCCGGUGGUAUGAGAUGGACCCGCGUCUGAUUAGCUAGUUGGUGGGGUAACGGCUCACCAAGGCGACGAUCAGUAGCCGACCUGAGAGGGUGACCGGCCACAUUGGGACUGAGACACGGCCCAA